UAAUUUCUGUUUUAGUAACCUUUUAUCUGAGCCUGAACACUUCACUCUUAUCCAGCCCUAAGAAGCUGAAUCUGCCUGUAGCUGUACAGACAUCACCCAGGGUUGCUGAAUAGCUGACCACACUCUCAAGUAAAAGGCCCUCAGAGACUAUGCAGCGCCACUGAUUCGAUCCAAGAUCAGUGACGAGAUGAUCCCAAGGUUUCACAAUCCUGCAACAGGCCGUGUCCUGAGCAGCUGCUGUGCUGGUUAUGGAGAAGUGGAGAGCAUGAGACUGAUUCCUGUGGCGCUCCAGGGACAGACGAGUCAUGCAGAUGUCCAGCGUUCUCCGGCACCUAGUCUGUAGCUCUGCACAAGACGUUUGGCCUUAGGAGAAAUGGUCGUGCCCAACUGAGCCUGGUUUUUUCUAAAGGAGAGCCAAAGCUGGUGUAAAAUAAGUACAGCAGACGUGUGUGUUCAUCUGACCUGCAGUCUGUUCAUUCUGAUCACAGAAGAAGAUCCUUGAAGACCUCUGUGCAGUGAAGCUAAAUCACACAAGAGCUCUUUCUGCUCCUCAACUUUGUGUCGAGAUUUCAUCAAGAUGGCAGCAGACUUACUUGAGGACCCUUUAGAGGACAUGGCCAAGUGUUUGUUAUCGUUUAAGAACACGUUUCAGUGGUUUGACAACAUUAAAAAGGAGAUAGAAGAGAGGUGUGGCAUUAAAACAGAGCAUUGCUGGAAAGAUGAUGACAUUAGACAAGCUUGGAUAGAAACACAGAAAAUGGCAAAAGGUUACAAAAGAAACCAAUGGGCGUAUGUGAUAACAUUCCUGGAGAUGAAAAUGUUUGAUGAUGAUGAAAAUGAGACAACUGAAGUAGAGUCUGAUGUAACUGAGCAUGCACAGAAAGAGCAGCCAUGUGGCAGUGCGUCAAAACGGAUUCAAUUGAUAGACCAACACAAAGAGCAUCUCAAUGCAUUACUGAACGCACAUAUAAACUAGUGGGGGAUAUGUAUAAAAGUGAAAAAGCAAACGGUGGUUACAUUCAUUUUGGCUAAACAAUAGUUUUUGAUAGGACAGGCACCUCUGAACAAACUAAAACAUAUAUUCAACAUAUAUAGCUAUAAAUGUAAGUAUCUUCUAUGAUGCACUGGUCUUCUGUGAUUUACUGGUAGUACCAAGUUAGUUAUAUAUGUAUAUAUUAAAUAACCAAAAAUAGCCAUGGGGGAAUAUUCUCCAUAUUUGCAUAAUAUUGUUAUUAUUUUAAAAAAUAACUAACCUAACAUUCUGGAAAGUUUUUAGAGUUGCAAAAAAUAACCUGAAACAAUGUUCACUUUGGUUAUUUAAAAAAAAUAAUCAUAUAAAAAUGGAGAGAACAUAAUUUCUAAGCAUAAUAGUGUUAAUAACUCAUCUCUAAUAACCGAUUUAUUUUCUCUUAAUGAUGACAGUAAAUGAUAUUAGACUAGAUAUUCUUCAAGACACUUCUAUACAGCUUAAAGUGACAUUUAAAGGCUUAACCAGGUUAAUUAGGGUAACUAGGCAGGUUAGGGUAAUCAGGCAAGUUAUUGUAUGAUGAUGGUU
Non-coding RNA from Danio rerio (zebrafish), 1555 nucleotides. NCBI's taxonomy places the organism in Eukaryota, Metazoa, Chordata, Actinopteri, Cypriniformes, Danionidae. The record is from RefSeq and is a predicted model, not a curated record.